This 601-nucleotide ribosomal RNA is filed under the name Bacillus subtilis. Its description in RNAcentral is "bacterial SSU rRNA". It matches the Rfam family "Bacterial small subunit ribosomal RNA", at positions 565 to 1166 of the family's 1533-position model. The record is from RNAcentral. Lineage: Bacteria; Bacillati; Bacillota; Bacilli; Caryophanales; Bacillaceae.
GGGCUCGCAGGCGGUUUCUUAAGUCUGAUGUGAAAGCCCCCGGCUCAACCGGGGAGGGUCAUUGGAAACUGGGGAACUUGAGUGCAGAAGAGGAGAGUGGAAUUCCACGUGUAGCGGUGAAAUGCGUAGAGAUGUGGAGGAACACCAGUGGCGAAGGCGACUCUCUGGUCUGUAACUGACGCUGAGGAGCGAAAGCGUGGGGAGCGAACAGGAUUAGAUACCCUGGUAGUCCACGCCGUAAACGAUGAGUGCUAAGUGUUAGGGGGUUUCCGCCCCUUAGUGCUGCAGCUAACGCAUUAAGCACUCCGCCUGGGGAGUACGGUCGCAAGACUGAAACUCAAAGGAAUUGACGGGGGCCCGCACAAGCGGUGGAGCAUGUGGUUUAAUUCGAAGCAACGCGAAGAACCUUACCAGGUCUUGACAUCCUCUGACAAUCCUAGAGAUAGGACGUCCCCUUCGGGGGCAGAGUGACAGGUGGUGCAUGGUUGUCGUCAGCUCGUGUCGUGAGAUGUUGGGUUAAGUCCCGCAACGAGCGCAACCCUUGAUCUUAGUUGCCAGCAUUCAGUUGGGCACUCUAGGGUGACUGCCGGUGACAAACCGG